This 623-nucleotide ribosomal RNA is filed under the name uncultured archaeon. RNAcentral's name for it is "bacterial SSU rRNA". It matches the Rfam family "Archaeal small subunit ribosomal RNA", at positions 146 to 774 of the family's 1478-position model. The record is from RNAcentral.
AUAAUACUCCAUAGAUUAGAGAUACUGGAAUGUUCUUUAGUCAAAAGUUCUGGCGCCUUAGGAUGGAUCUGCGGUCGAUUAGGUUGUUGUUGGGGUAACGGCCCAACAAGCCUGUAAUCGAUACGGGUUGUGGGAGCAAUAGCCCGGAGAUGGAAUCUGAGACAAGAUUCCAGGCCCUACGGGGCGCAGCAGGCGCGAAAACUUUACAAUGCAGGAAACUGUGAUAAGGGAACCCCGAGUGCCCGUAUACGCGGGCUGUCCAGGUGUUUAAAAAUCAUCUGAAGAAAGGGCCGGGCAAGACCGGUGCCAGCCGCCGCGGUAAUACCGGCGGCUCGAGUGGUGGCCACUAUUAUUGGGCUUAAAGCGUCCGUAGCUGGACUGAUAAGUCUCUUGGGAAAUCCGCCGGCUCAACCGGCGGGCGUCUAAGGGAUACUGUUGGUCUAGGGACCGGGAGAGGUGAGAGGUACUCCGGGGGUAGGAGUGAAAUCCUGUAAUCCCCGGGGGACCACCGAUGGCGAAGGCAUCUCACCAGAACGGCUCCGACAGUGAGGGACGAAAGCUGGGGGAGCAAACCGGAUUAAAUACCCGGGUAGUCCCAGCCGUAAACUGUGCGCGUUAGGUGU